Sinocyclocheilus anshuiensis is the source of this 237-nucleotide long non-coding RNA. RefSeq lists it as uncharacterized. The record is from RefSeq and is a predicted model, not a curated record. The transcript has 3 exons. NCBI's taxonomy places the organism in Eukaryota, Metazoa, Chordata, Actinopteri, Cypriniformes, Cyprinidae.
UAAAUUAUGCAGUUAUUGCUAGUCAGAAUGUGUGAUGCUGUUGUGGAUGCCCUCUUCCCGUAACAACGCGCUGAAACACUUCAACUAAAACCAAAUAAUUCACAAUGUUUUAUUAUAAUAGUGUUCUCAUUAUAAUAUAAUAUAUAUGACAGUCCCAAUCAUAGUUAUUAAUGUUGUGCGCUGCUGUUUGUGCUGCGUGCACUGAGCUAAAGAUGAUCACCUGUAAACUGAAGCGCU